GCCCGGGUGGCUGAUAUUGGUUCAAAGCGCCGGCCUUAUAAACCGGUUCACAGCACUCGCUAGAUAAGCGAGCUGAUGCGGGUUCGAUUCCCGCCCCGGGCACCA
RNAcentral lists this transfer RNA (105 nucleotides) under Stagnimonas sp. Its description in RNAcentral is "tRNA-Ile". It matches the Rfam family "tRNA". From Rfam's summary of the family: Transfer RNA (tRNA) molecules are approximately 80 nucleotides in length. Their secondary structure includes four short double-helical elements and three loops (D, anti-codon, and T loops). Further hydrogen bonds mediate the characteristic L-shaped molecular structure. tRNAs have two regions of fundamental functional importance: the anti-codon, which is responsible for specific mRNA codon recognition, and the 3' end, to which the tRNAs corresponding amino acid is attached (by aminoacyl-tRNA synthetases). tRNAs cope with the degeneracy of the genetic code in two manners: having more than one tRNA (with a specific anti-codon) for a particular amino acid; and 'wobble' base-pairing, i.e. permitting non-standard base-pairing at the 3rd anti-codon position. The record is from RNAcentral. Lineage: Bacteria; Pseudomonadati; Pseudomonadota; Gammaproteobacteria; Nevskiales; Nevskiaceae.